This 481-nucleotide ribosomal RNA is filed under the name uncultured bacterium. RNAcentral's name for it is "partial 16S ribosomal RNA". It matches the Rfam family "Bacterial small subunit ribosomal RNA", at positions 28 to 507 of the family's 1533-position model. The record is from RNAcentral.
GAUGAACGCUGGCGGCGUGCUUAACACAUGCAAGUCGAACGAAGCACUUUAUUUGAUUUCCUUCGGGACUGAUUAUUUUGUGACUGAGUGGCGGACGGGUGAGUAACGCGUGGGUCACCUGCCUUGUACAGGGGGAUAACAGUUGGAAACGGCUGCUAAUACCGCAUAAGCGCACAGCAUCGCAUGAUGCAGUGUGAAAAACUCCGGUUGUAUAAGAUGGACCCGCGUUGGAUUAGCAAGUUGGGGAGGUACAGGCCCACCAAGGCGACGAUCCAUAGCCGACCUGAGAGGCUGGCCGGCCACAUUGGGACUGAGACACGGCCCAAACUCCUACGGGAGGCAGCAGUGGGGAAUAUUGCAAAAUGGGCGAAAGCCUGAUGCACCGACGCCGCGUGAGCUAAGAAGUAUUUCGAUAUGUAAAGCUCUAUCAGCAGGGAAGAUAAUGACGGUACCUGACUAAGAAGCACCGGCUAAAUACGUG